This 253-nucleotide ribosomal RNA is filed under the name uncultured bacterium. RNAcentral describes it as "partial 16S ribosomal RNA". It matches the Rfam family "Bacterial small subunit ribosomal RNA", at positions 524 to 776 of the family's 1533-position model. The record is from RNAcentral.
UACGUAGGGGGCAAGCGUUGUCCGGAAUCAUUGGGCGUAAAGCGCGUGUAGGCGGUUCGGUAAGUCCGCUGUGAAAGUCCAGGGCUCAACCCUGGGAUGCCGGUGAAUACUGUCGGGCUAGAGUACGGAAGAGGCGAGUGGAAUUCCCGGUGUAGCGGUGAAAUGCGCAGAUAUCGGGAGGAACACCAAUUGCGAAGGCAGCUCGCUGGGACGUCACUGACGCUGAGACGCGAAAGCGUGGGGAGCAAACAGG